This 497-nucleotide ribosomal RNA is filed under the name uncultured bacterium. Its description in RNAcentral is "partial 16S ribosomal RNA". It matches the Rfam family "Bacterial small subunit ribosomal RNA", at positions 28 to 507 of the family's 1533-position model. The record is from RNAcentral.
GAUGAACGCUGGCGGCGUGCCUAAUACAUGCAAGUCGAGCGAACGGACGAGAAGCUUGCUUCUCUGAUGUUAGCGGCGGACGGGUGAGUAACACGUGGAUAACCUACCUAUAAGACUGGGAUAACUUCGGGAAACCGUAGCUAAUACCGGAUAAUAUUUUGAACCGCAUGGUUCAAAAGUGAAAGACGGUCUUGCUGUCACUUAUGGAUGGAUCCGCGCUGCAUUAGCUAGUUGGUAAGGUAACGGCUUACCAAGGCAACGAUGCAUAGCCGACCUGAGAGGGUGAUCGGCCACACGGGAACUGAGACACGGUCCAGACUCCUACGGGAGGCAGCAGUAGGGAAUCUUCCGCAAUGGGCGAAAGCCUGACGGAGCAACGCCGCGUGAGUGAUGAAGGUCUUCGGAUCGUAAAACUCUGUUAUUAGGGAAGAACAUAUGUGUAAGUAACUGUGCACAUCUUGACGGUACCUAAUCAGAAAGCCACGGCUAACUACGUG